RNAcentral lists this long non-coding RNA (833 nucleotides) under Apteryx rowi (Okarito brown kiwi). RNAcentral describes it as "lncRNA (ENSARWG00000007199.1)". Lineage: Eukaryota; Metazoa; Chordata; Aves; Apterygiformes; Apterygidae. The record is from RNAcentral.
GAUGUGCAAAGCAGAUGGAGUGAAGAAUAAAAAUUAUAAGAGAGCUGGCCACAUGGAUCUUGUAUUGCCUUUUGCCUGCCUUUGGGCUAGAUCUUUUGACCACCUUGGCAGAGAGGCUGCUAGCAACCCUUCAUCUUCUUCCACUUUAUGUGGGAACACCAUCACAGUGGCCACCACCUGAUUGACCUGCCAGCCUUGGAGGCCUACUGAGGCAGAUUCACGGCCAUCCCAGGAAGCCACACUGGAAGAAGAAGCCACAAUACCCAAAUUGCCUGUAACUCAGCUUUGGACUGAAAGGGGAUACUGGCACUUUCUUAGCAGUGAUGGCAUCUUUUGUGAUGAUUGGUGUCCUUCUGCUUUCUUGGAGAUGUGGCAUCCCCUGUGUCACUGGAUUGCCUGCCUAGACUGUGAUGGGACAACUUUCACAGUGCUGCAAGGUGCCGGGACYCCCAGGCUGGCCUGCAAAUCCAAGGGAACACGUGUUAGGACGGCAAGUUGCAUUAGGAAGAGGCCAAAAGUGAGAACUAAAUGACAACUAAACAGAAAUGGAGCAAUGGAGGAAGCAUGUUUUAUUCCCUUGGAUUAUUGAUUCAUACCUGCUGCAGUUUGUCUUUCCAUCUCACAGAAAGGCAGCAGGUUGGCAUUUUGAAGGAGCAAGCAUGGAAAAAAAUAGAGGGGGCUACAGUCUUGUGGAAGGCAAGGUUCUGUCAGUCUGGCCGAUUCUGUUUGUGGUACUAGUUCUGUUGCCUUCGAUGUUUAGAGUGUCGCUGGGGAUUUCUCAUAUCUAUGUGAAAAUUGUAAUAAAAAUGUUAGAGUUGAAAGUUAUUCUCUAA